RNAcentral lists this microRNA precursor (61 nucleotides) under Ornithorhynchus anatinus (platypus). Its description in RNAcentral is "Oan-Novel-8_pre stem-loop". Lineage: Eukaryota; Metazoa; Chordata; Mammalia; Monotremata; Ornithorhynchidae. The record is from RNAcentral.
UAGGCGCUUAACAAAUACUCACAUUAUGGUUAUUAUCAGUGCUAUUUACUGAGCGCUUACC